GCGUCUUUAGUAUAGUAGGUAUAUUAAAUUUAGAUUUUAAUGGAAUUUGAUGCU
This 54-nucleotide transfer RNA is filed under the name Parafilaroides normani. Its description in RNAcentral is "tRNA-Leu". The record is from RNAcentral. Lineage: Eukaryota; Metazoa; Nematoda; Chromadorea; Rhabditida; Filaroididae.